Molecule: small nuclear RNA, 104 nt
Organism: Monodelphis domestica (gray short-tailed opossum)
Lineage: Eukaryota; Metazoa; Chordata; Mammalia; Didelphimorphia; Didelphidae
Source: Ensembl
CUCAUUUUUGUCAUCACAUAUGAUAAAAUUAUAAUGAUACAGAGAUUAGCAUGGCCCUUGAACAAAGAUGACAUGAAAAAUUCUUAAAUGCUUUGUAGGUUUUU